AGGUGUGCCAACAGCUAGGAGCUCUAGGGGUUUCUGGGGGCUGCUGCUGGACAGGCUGCAGGUCUGGUGCCAACAGUGAGUGUGGUCUGUAUGGAAUAAGGCUGUAUUGUACUAGCAGGAGGGGAGGAGCAGGAUUAGGCCACCCGGGCUAUUCAUCUGAGUGCUGUGUGCAUGCAGCUGGAACUGAGCACGGAGGGAAGUGCCAGGGUUUCCCCUCUGCAAAGCUUCUCUGCCUCCUGGCCGUUGGCCCGUGGCUCCCUCCCGGCAGCACUCCUCACUCUCCUCACCCAAGGCCGGGUGUCCCAUCACCCCUGGGAGCUCCAGGGGCUUCUCACUCUGCUUCACGCAGCCCGCCAACGCCUUCUGCCUCUUCCUGCAGGGGAACGGCACCACCUAGUGCUGCUUGCCUGCUGCAGCUCGCGAGGGUUCGUGCUGACAGCAGCUGGGCUAGGGCAGACCAGCACGGGCAUAAGAAUCUUAGAUGUGGAUUUAUUGAAGGCGUGGUCACGGGUGACCCACAGGGAAAGUGGUAAACAGGGACAACACCACCACUUGUCUCACAUUGAUGCCAACUGUCUUUAUGCUGAAUUGAUGAAACAGCUGAAAGAAGAGAGUCUAAUUGAGCCCUGAGUGCUGCUGCCAGAUUGCUCACCACGGCUGUUUCCAGCAUAAUUGAUAUAGGCAAUCAUUGUUUAAUGAACUUCACGUACGAAUUUCAGUGGAUGAAAACUCUCGAUAUGGAAGCACAGGAGGCAGACAGGAGGGCGCUUGCUUCCAUCUGGCGAGGGCUCCGGCGUGUAUUUACUCGUGUCUCACAAGGCUUAUCACAGCCUACCUCUCUGUCCACGCUGCGUCGGCCGAAGAGCUGGAAACAUUAAUAUUACCACCAGAGGUCACUGUGGGGCAACGCAUCAGUGGUGCCUUCAGAGGCGGCCGAUAGGCAGAACGUGUGAACCGGGCUGUGAGCACUUGUCAUUACACUCCUGCGGUUCGGUAAAACCGGUAAGAAACAAAACAAAACCACCAAAACCAAACAACCGAGGAUUCAGUGAGGAAUUAAUCUUCUGGGGAGACAGUGGCAGGUGGGAGAAGAAUUGUCCCUGCUGAGGUACUACCUGAUGGUUACACGUGCUUCAGAAUAAGAGGAGCUAUGCGCUGUGCUGGAGACUUUAGGAUCUUGGAGAGUAUCUGUUCCAGGAAUUAUUAUAAUAGGUUGUCCAUCCUAUAACUUACUAUAGAAAACAAGAGCCUGAAUCCUGCAGCAUCACUGGGAGAAAUCAAUGAGUGAUAGAAGCAUGUGGUUCCCUGCUGCAGUAUACAGUGGUGUCCAUCUUCCCUCCUCUAGGGAGGCUUGCACCUUGCUCAGCCUGGGGUGCUAGGAAGAGUCUGUUCAGGCUUCUCUGACCCUUGAUCUAUUACUCUGUACAGUAUAUAUGUCCUGUGCACAUAUGUUUGUGAGGGGGGCCUCUACUAGGAGUACGAUGGCCUGGCUGGAACAGGGAACACAGAGAUGUGGCAGUGUUGCCUCCAUCAGACAACUGACUUCAGCACCAUGACAAUUUGGACUGCAGGGUGGCAGAACCCCAAGGUACAAAACAUGACCGGGUGGAGGCAGCUGCCUUUGAGUCAGUGCAGCACAAGUCUGCAGGAGAAAGCCCACCCAGAAGCAACAGACUUGAUCUUCUGAAAGGUAUGCAGGUGGAGCAUCCAUUUCUCAUGAGGAAGAAAUACUGAAUAAAGAACUAGAGCUCCAGCAGUGAAGAACAGCAAAACAUGCUGCCUUUACGGUCUGCAGCAAGUUAUGCCACUGUAGAAAUUAAACCAAGACACAUGUUGUUGAUUUCUGAAGUGCCAAAAGAAGGACAAGGUCAGAGCUGGUCUCUGAAUACAUCAUCCCAAUGGCAUUUCAAUGGAAAUGCAAAUUUAGGAAUUUGGGAUUAGGAACAAAAAAUUUCAGAAAAUAGACACAGACCCAGAAGAAUUAAAGGAAAGGAGUUGGGCAGAUCCCGUAUGUUGUAGACCAAUACACAGAUCAGCAAGCACACACAGAGAAAGAAGAAUAUUACCUGUCAGUGGAAGGUGAGAAAACAAACAUGGGAGGAUGAUAUUUGCCAAGAAGGUAGAUCUUGUGAUAGUCCACAGAAUCAGAACUCAGUGGCUCUGGAGGCCUUAAAUGUAAGUAGCUUUUUAAGAAGUAAUAACUUUCUCCUUCCAGAGUGAUAUUUGGGUACCUACAACUCAUCUCCCCCACUGUUAUUUUAAACUAGUGAAAUGGAGGUUAGAGCCAGCAUUGCUUAUCAGUUUAAUCAUCAGGCCAUAGAUUUCUGUUCCUUCUUCUUACUGGCUUUUAUUGUCACUUAACACUUUGUUUCUUUCUGGUAACACUACCCUUUGCUUUAAUAAUCUCUCCCUUUAUCCUGGCCUCCAGCCUGUACUUUAACAUGGUUAUUCUGGGAGGUAAAAUAUGUAAUUUCCAAUGUUCUUAACUAUAGAAAAUGCUUGCCUUGCAAGGAUGUAUGGGAUUUGAUAUACAAAUAGACUUCCCCUCUAGCAAAGCUUACUAGAUAUCCAAAAGGGCAUGAAUGUUGCUUUCCAUCAUAGAGUGCCUCAUUCCCAAAGCUCUUUGUACUUCAAUGAAAUCUGAAUUGGAAAAAGAUGAUAGGUAUAAUAUCUCCCUGGGCGAUUUACUGCACUUGCUUAAAUCAGAAGACCUUCCUAAUCUCUGUCUCUGAGAAAUGCUUGGGAAAAUAGGAUGUUCUUACAAGAGCAAGCUGUUAAUAAAGCCUUUUCCUGUUAGAUGUGCUAAGUAUCCUUGUAGCAUUUGAAGAGAUGCUGGUCCUAGAGAACAACCGGCAAGGCUGUGGCAGAGCCAGCAGCUUUAUCCACAAGGUUUAAAUCAGGGGUGCUAACAUCUGCUCUUUCAAAGACUUCACCUUUUUUGCCAUUGUCACUAAAAACCAAUGCCUUUAACGCUGAUUAUAGCUGUCUGUGUGCUCCAUGCUAAGGCACAACUGUUUCAGGAUGUGGAAGAUCUCUUUGACCACUUCAUUAUGAAGGAAAAUACAGACAAAGGCAGAAAUACACAUUCGGUUUAGUGCUGCAAUGCUUGAAAUACUUGUUUGGUGUCAUUCCAGCUGAACAGGCUGUAUCCUGUGCCUGCGCUCCCCACCACAGUUGUUACACAGACUUUUUGUAGCCUUCCCCUUUCUUCAACAGCUCCUUUGCAGCCUCAUGCUGGUGAGAAGCUUUGGCUCUGUUUCCCUUUCUGUCCUAACCCUACACCUUGGUUGCAAGUUGAGCCUCAUCCAAAAUGCCCAGUUCUGGCUCAAGGUUCAGACUGUGGCCCCUCAUUCACUUUUAGAUGACUUCUUCCAGAUUGUGGCUUUUCUGCAUCAGAAUUUCAGUCUAAGCUAGCACUGAGCUUGUGGGCUGUUGGACAGGUCUAGGGUGGCUGGCUGCAGCACAAGCCUUUGCCACAAAUGUCCCUGUCAGCUGGAGAGAGACAGUGUCAUUCCUGGACCUAAGCCUCUCUUCAGCAGGUGUUCAGCUUGCUCUGGUUACUCCCUAGAGCCUUUGUGAGUUUGAGUAGCUGGAGCAACUCACUUGUGUAAUCCUAGCACGUUUCCUCUUGCAGGCUGACACCAAGAAAUGCCCCCCUGUUUAUCCCACUGGACAUUGAAGAAUAAUUUUGCCACUCAGCUGGUAAGUUUUAAAGACAAACUGAAGAACUGCCUUAUACACUGCUCGCAAGCUGGUGCUUCUGCAAAACUGCCUGCUUUGUUUCAGUCAGAGCAAUCCAUAGCCCUCAGUCCUAACCCAGUGACAGCUUAAUGCGUAGAGUGUCACUCCUGCAAAUGACCUCUCUCCCUUACGUUGAGUAGCUGAGAUGUCAGUGCUAAGAGCCAGUGGUACUGUAACCCUAUUACUUGGUCCUCAGAGCCACAUUUGAUUGUGUUCUUUGGCAGCAACAGGAAAUAAAUGCACUCAUUUCGGUGUCACCACUGAGGUAUAGCAGCACAACUAAGUUACAUGCCAGAGCAAAUAAAUCCACUUGGCAGCAGCAGCUGCACUUGU
This 4074-nucleotide long non-coding RNA is filed under the name Gallus gallus (chicken). Its description in RNAcentral is "lncRNA (ENSGALG00010006780.1)". Lineage: Eukaryota; Metazoa; Chordata; Aves; Galliformes; Phasianidae. The record is from RNAcentral.